AUCCAGCUGACUAGUCCCAAAUAGGACGUAAAGCGCGUCCUGGAU
This is a non-coding RNA of Schistosoma rodhaini, 45 nucleotides long. NCBI's taxonomy places the organism in Eukaryota, Metazoa, Platyhelminthes, Trematoda, Strigeidida, Schistosomatidae. The record is from Rfam.